Molecule: unclassified non-coding RNA, 8555 nt
Filed under: Acanthaster planci (crown-of-thorns starfish)
Lineage: Eukaryota; Metazoa; Echinodermata; Asteroidea; Valvatida; Acanthasteridae
Description: trichohyalin-like, transcript variant X4
Source: RNAcentral
AGCUGAUGAACACUGUUAAUAUAUUGCGUGACGGUGCAGUGGUAAUAUGGUCGCGGUACGCGGUACGUGUUUUACAUGCGGCGAACCCACCCGGCCAGGCUACCACUUACCAGUCUUUGUACGCGGGAUAAGUAUGGCUAGGCCCUAGUUUUACUCCCCUUAUGCCUAUAUUUGCGGUCUCAACUUCACGUUCCUUUUUCCAAAAACGCUAAUGAUGGUCAACGAAGUCCGCUGAGAUAUUACCAUGGGGACGAAAGAAGACUUUGAGGCCAUUUUUGACCUUCUCGAUCCUACAUGCCGGGGUUUUGUGGAUGCAAACCAACUGCAGGAGUUUCACAAAGCAUUUCACUACACAUCAAUAAAUGCUGAUCAAAUAGAUGCUGCCAUCAGUCAGGUGUGCAGUGGAGGAAACAGGUGUCCAAAGUUCUGUUUCCUUGAUGUUCUUUUGGAGCUGGAGAGACGCCGAACUGUGGAAGAGCGGGCAUGGUGGGACUUCCAGGCCUUGGAUAGUCGAGGCAACCACCGCAUCACUCCUCGGGAAGCCUUGAUCCUGAUGAAAGCCACCCACCAGGAACACUUCACUACCCAGACCUGGCAGGCAUUCCUAAAGUCUCGUGAUGUAUCUGCCAAUGAAGAUGUAACUUUUAACGAGAUAAGGAUGUGGCUCUGUAAUCCUCCUUUACAAAGUGGGGAGGAAUGGGAGAUGGAAGAUAUCACUGCAGAGGGAGAGAAGCUGGACAGAGAAAAGAGAACAUUGGAUUAUCAGGAGCAUAAGGAGUUUUUGGUUUUACAGGAGGAUGAGUUGUCACAGACUGUGGACGCACAAGAUAGACAGUACUAUCAAAAUAAAUUCCGUAGCAAGGCAAAGCGCAAGCUCAACCGUUGGGUAAAUCUUGGUGUGGAGGCACUGAUCUUUGAUGAUGGCAAGGACUAUGAGGUUGACUACAGGAUGCGGAAUCGUGUUACUGUCCAGGAUCUGUUAGAGGCACUGGAACAAAAAUAUGAUAUCCUUAGAGAGAAGCUGCUUUGGGAAGCUGUUAAAAAACAUAUUGGGGAUCCUAUUUGGUCCUCCAUGUCAGAGGGAGAGCAGCAGGAACAAGUCCUCCGUGUCCAGAUGAAAGAGCAUCAAUUGCGACGAAGCAGUGACCUAGAUCAGAUCUCACGCCUGGUCAUCUCUUACCAGCAUUAUGACUCUAGGCUGGAAGCUAUGAUAGGAUGCCUGCGCAGUGAGUUUGAACGUCAGUCCAUGGACCAUCAAAGCAAAGUUGCUGUACUGCUGAAUGAGGGAAAGACAGAGGAUCAGAUUUACGAGAUAUUUGCUAAUGAGUAUGCUCAGAGAGUGCAAGGAGUAACAACAUGUGGGCAGCUCCUUAUUGAUCUUCACAAGCGCUACAUGAAAGAGCGUGAGUUUCUUCUGUCUGUACUCAAGAUGGGGAACCGUAGGGCAUUGACCUCUGCUGAGAUGAUUACUGAGUAUGCAUCCCUUGCUGCACAGCAGCUGAUUGCCUCCUACGAGGGCGAGUCAUUUGAGUAUUCUUCAAUGGCAACGGGACUUGCUGAACGCCCACAGCAGUACAUGUGCCCAGGAUUUGACAGCGAUCGAGAUUUAAAUGAGCUGCUUGCUUUGGAGAGACUGCAUCGGAUGAAAGGACGCAGACCUCCCAAAGUGAUUGAUGAUGAUGGCCAUCUGAUAGGCAAGAAUCGAGGCAUUGUAGCCUGGCAGGUGGAGGUAGUCAGACAACUCUUGAAGAAACACAGCCAUGAAUGCGAGGUUAUGAUCUAUCUCCUGCAAGGCAAAGAAAGUGCCACUUGGCUCUCUGUUGCCCGACGGAAGAGCCAGGAACAUCGUGAAGACAGAUUAAAAGCGUUGCGACUACAGCGUUCCAACUGGCGUCAAGGCUCCAAAGAGCACUUGGUCUCUAAAAGGACUGUACAUCUCAAGAUAUUGUUAGAAGGCACAGGUCUCUAUCAUGAAAACAGACGUACUGAGAUUCGUGGAGGGCACAACUUCACUGAUAAUCAAGUCUCUGCCUGUGUGCUAGCUGACUUGCAGCAAAAACAAGCACAAGAGGUAGAGAAGGUUGUGGUAGAGAUGCAGACAAUGACUGCUGACAUUCUGAAGGAAUUAUGGAGGCGUGAACACCGUUCAAGGACUGAGGAAUGGUUGGACAAUGUAUCAGCUGUCAUUUUAUCAACAAUUGAACUCACUGAAGAAGACAAAGAAUUGGUAGAAGCACUGGAGGCAAAAUAUGAUGUUUUGAGGGAGAAAAUACUGACAGACCAACUGAUGAGAGAGUUUGGAGAGUCUCAGUGGUUGAUGAUGUCUGAGCAGGAGCGUCAGCGACUCCUGAUUAAGAAGAAGAUGGAAGAGCGGCAGCUUAGACGAGAAGGCAAAAUGGAUGAGCUGGCACGUCUCAUCAGUGGUGCUGAUAAGGAUAGUAAACAUCUCCAGAAACUGAUGGGAAAAAACCGUGAAGAAUAUGAGAAACAACUAGCUGCACGUCUUGCUCGUAGGGAGCGUCGUCGGGCCAUGGGGCUGGACUCAGAUGAAUCAGAUGAGUCAGAUUCAGAGGAAGCAGGUACUACUGCUGGCCAUAAUUUAUUACUGGACCUUCAGUCUCGUUAUAAUGAAGACAUGGAUGCCUUGAUGGCUUUGCUGCGACGUCAACAGGGCAACGAAAUGAGUGAAAGGGAGAGACAGGCAUUACUACUCCGAUUGAGGAGGGAGAAGAGACGGGCAGCCAUGGAGGAUAACUUUGAUGAGGCAGCACUUCUCCUUGGCUUGGCUGAGAGGAACAAACUCAAUAUGGAAGAAAGGAUGAAAGCUGAUCGAGAACGUCAGUUGCUGUUAGCAAGAGAACGUUUAGGAAACCGUCAGCGUCGUCGAACUGAAGGGAAAGAAGAAAUUGGCAACCAUGAGGAACUUUCUGUACCUGCUGAAGGUGAUAUUAAUGGUUGGCGUGAGACUGUCCUCAAGGAGCUGGACCGUAAGCAUAUCCUGGAGAGGGAACUUCUACUGACUAUCCUGACUGAUGAAGGCAGUGAGGAGUUAAGAGAUGCAGCCAGACAGAUGGUACAGAAAGCCAGGCAAGAGAGGUUGCAGGAACUCAAAGAAGAGGCAGAAAAACUUAACCCUGACAAGAAAGAAGAGAAAGAGGGUCAUCGAGACAUUCUUGAAGAAGCUGGUGCCAUCAAGAGCAUUCUGAGGACCAUAAGUCUAACAACCAAGAGACAUGGUCAAAAGGUUGAAAUGGAUGAAGUCCACGCUAGUAUUUUAGCUGACCUCCAAGAGGAACAAGAAAGAGAGAGUGAAGUGGUUAUGGCUGGCCUUGUCUCCAUGAGUGAGGAAGAGUUGUCCAAGAUGCGUAUAAAGCAGAUAUGGGAGGUUAAGAUGGGCAUUGGCAAGAAUGUUCUGAAUGUCUUCACCCAAUAUGAAGGAGCAGCUGAAGACGAUGCCAUCUUAAAGGCUCUGGACAAGAAGUACGAUGCUUUGAAAGACAAGCUGCUCAUUGACAUAUUGCGGAGUCAUUUAGGAGAGAAAGAGUGGGCUAGAAUGAAGGAGCAAGAUAGACAGAAGAAGCUCUUGGACCUAAGACAAGAAGAAAGAAGACUACGCAAAGAAGGCAAAAUGGAUGCCCUAGCUGCUCUCCUAGGAAAUCAUGCCAAGACGCAGGCAGACCUUAAGAAACUGAUGGGGGACAGCCGAACUGACUACCAGGAGAAACUUAAGAUGAGAAUUGAGAGAAGGAAAAAGAAAAUUGCUGAAGGUGGAAACCUGGAUGACAUAGAAGAAGAACUGUCAGAAGAGGAAGGUGAUUCUCAAGACUCUUCCUCCAAAGGCUCAAGCCCCCUAGAGGACCUGCAGAGGCGUUAUGAUAGUGAACGGGAGGCAAUUCUCAUGAGAUUGAACAGUUCAGAGGCUGAAUACAUGAGUGAGAAGGAACGACAGGCAGAACUGAUUCGACUUAGACUAGAAUUACGUAAAGCAAGAGGAGAGGACAACUUCAUUGCUGCAGCACUAGUGAUGGGGCUCGCUGAACGCAACCAAGCAACCACAUCCCAAAGACUUAAGCAUGACAGGCAGCGACAAGAAUCCCUUGCCAAGCAGCGGAUUGAAGCCAUGAGAAGAAAACGAGCUUUGGGAACUAUCCAAGAGGAGACUGAAGAUACAGUGACUGAUAAUGACGAUAGGAACUCAAUGCAGGAUGCAGUAAUCAGAACCCUUGAGAAGAAACACAACCUGGAAAGAGAAACACUGUAUGAUCUCCUUCAUGCAAAGUAUGGGGAAGAUGAGAUUCUGAUUGCAGAACACAUGACUCAAGAGCAACGGCAAGACAUCCUACAAGAACUAAUGGAAAGAAGACGAGCCAUGGAUGUUGGCAAAAAACAAGAGAAUCAAGUUAUUUUGAGUGAAGCAUCAAUUGUGAAGAUGGCAGGACGAAAAAAAAUACUUGAAAAGGAGACUACCAGGACUUCCAUAAGCAAGGAUGAUGUGGUAGUAACCAUCAUGGCUGACCUGCAACAACAACAAGCCAGAGAGUGUGAAGCUCUGCUUAGUCAACUCCCUGAUAAGGACUUUGAGUCCUUGGUGCAUGUUCAGCAGCAGAACAUUCAGGACCAGAAGAAUGAACGGAAUGAGAAUGUUGCUGUUGUGGUGAUGACAGCCGAUCUGAGCAAGAAGGCUGGGGAGGAGGAGUUAGUGGAUGCUUUGCAAGGGAAGUUUGAUGCUUUGAAGGAUAAGAUCCUGACAGAGGCAUUAAUGAAGCAGAUUGGUGAAGCUGAAUGGGCUGUGCUUUCAGAGAAGGAGAGACAAGUCCGUCUGGUCAAGCUUCGACUUGAAGAACGACGACUGCGCCAGGAGGGAAAGUAUGAUGAGGCUGCUGCACUGUUGGGUGAUGCCAUCGCAUCGCAGACUGCGCUGGAGCUGUUGCUUGGGGAUACCAAGAAGCAACAGGAGGAUAAACUGAAAGAGAGGCUUGAGAAGAGACGACUGAGAGUGGCUCAGGGCAUGACUGAGGAGGAAAUUAAUCAACUGGAGUGGAAAGAGAUUGAACAAGAGGAAGAGGAACUGAGGAAGAAGACACCUAAAAACAUCCUGGAAGACUUGGACAACCGUCUGGAUGCAGAGAGGGAUGCCCUCUUGGCUGGUUUAAGAGAUGCCAAUGACUGUCUGCGUAGUGAGAAAGAACGACAGCUAGAGUUGGUGCGUCUGAGGAGAGAGCAACGUAAAGCUCGCAAGGAGGAGAAGUUUGAUGCAGCUGCCCUUGCCAUGGGAUUGGCCAAACAAGCUCAGGAUGCUGAAGACCAACGAGAGAAGGAAAGACAGAGACAGAUGCAGCUUGCUAAGGAACGGUUGGCUCAGUGUCGUAAAACUAAGGAAGACAGAAGACGAGCCAAGGAAACCACAGGACCCAUUCCCAUGCCUGAGGAUGAACAGAGUGAGGUCAUGAUGCAAGAAGCUGUCAUACAAGAAAUGGAAGUCAAACAUGAACAAGAGAGAGAUGUGCUUAUUGAGUUAAUGCAAGAUCAGGAAAAAAGCAGCUUGAGAACAAACGCCCGACAGAUGACCGAGGACAAUCGACAAAAGAAGCUGAAGGAGCUGCAAGGAGCACGUCAGGAAUGGCGUGACAGUCGACCAUCAAAGGAAAAUGAAGAGGAACAAAUAGACAUAUUUAGUAAAGCCACAGCCCUUACUAUGGAAAGCCUUCUAGAUGAAGCCAGGCAGACACAGGGAGAUGGUAUUACUGAUAAUGAGAUUCAGAUUGCCUUGUUGGCUGAUCUACAGCAACAACAGGAACAGGAAGCUAGACGUCUGAUGGAAGACCUGGGUUCAAAGACCUUAACUACUCUCAAGCAGUUGAAGCAGGUGCAGUACAUUGCCCGAGCCAACGGCUGGAAUGAUAACGUUGCAGGUACAGUGCUAGUCACCAAGUCAGAUUCCUCUGAGGUCACUGAGGAGCAGCUUCUCAAGGCACUAGAAGUCAAGUAUGACACACUCAGAGACAAGCUACUCAGUGAGGCACUUAUGAAACAGAUGGGGGAAGUAGAAUGGGCUCGUCUGUCAGAGAGAGAACGUCAGGGUAAACUAAUGAAGCUGAAGUUACAAGAGAGGAAGAUGAGACAGGAAGGCAAAUAUGAUGAAGCUGCUGCCUUGCUUGGACAAGGACUCAAAGACCAACAAGAGUUGACCAAGCUGCUGGGCAACACAAAGGCUGAGCAGGGGGAGAGAUUGAAGCAACGUCUUGAACGACGUCGCCAGCUAAUUGAAAAGAGAGCUAAAGAAGGUCUUGCAGUAGAUGAUGAGACACUGGAUGCAAUAAUUGACAAGGAGGAAAAAAGACGAGACUUAAUGGAAGACAGGAAAAAGAGGCGGAACAUUCUCGAAGAGCUGAACUCCCAUUUUGAGGAUGAGAGGGAUCAGCUUCUUGCAGCCUUGCGUAACCAGGAUGCUUCCUUAAAGACUGAGAGGGAACGUCAGUUAGCUCUGGCCAAGCUGCGUCGUGACCAACGCAAGCUUCAACUGGAGGAUAAGUUUGAUACAGCAGCUCUCAUCUUUGGCAUGGCCCAGCAACAAGAGCAGGCUAGGGAAUCUAAUUUAAAGAAAGACAAAGAGCGACAGAAGCAGCUGGCUCGGGAGCGAAUCACCAACCUGCGCAAGAAGAAAGCUGCAGCCCAAUCAGUUCAAGAUACAACUCCAGCUACCUUUUCUACCCCUGUUACCACCACCACAGGGGUAUUGAGUCAGGAGGACUUGGUAAAGAAGCUAAGACAAGAAGAGGAGGAGAAUGCUAAGGUGGAUGCUGUGAUCUCCACACAAAAAGAUGUUGGUGUAACCCUGCACACAACCAUCUUGGAUGAAAUUGAGAAGAAGCAUGGCAUGGAACGAGAUCUCCUUUUGGAACUUGUAGAGUUGGCUCAAUCAAACAAGCAUGAAGUCUCCAGAGUAGAACAACUAACUGAACAGGAGCUGAUGAAUGAACUGAAGAUUGGUAAUCAGAGCUGGCAGGAAUGUGAAUUACAGUUGGUUAACUUUGGAAAUGGAAGCAGUAAUCUUGAUGCUGUUGCUGAGCUGCAACACCAGAAAAGACAGGCUCUCAAAUCUGCCAUACUGCUCCGAAUGGAAGAUUACCGCCGUACUUUAACCAUCAAAACCAAGCUUACAAGUGAAGAGAUUACUGAUGAGGUGCUAGUGUCACUCCUAGCUGAACUCCAAUUGAAGCAGUCUUCAGAGAAUAAGGCCUUGAACAAGAUCCUGUCAUUUGAUGAGGAUCCUGAGAUGCUAGAAACUGACAAUGAACUCAUCAAGCAACUGAUCAGUAGUCAGCGCAAAGCCAGGCGGGAACUGCAGCUCAAAAACCUGGAGGCAGUAGUGUUUGGUGGUCUAGCUGCCAUCAAGGAGGAAGAUGAGAAACAACUAGAGGCAGAGAGCAAGGAGGAGGAGACCAAAAUGAUGCAGGAAUUGGAAAAAGAAAUUGAGCAGGAGAAACAGGAACUGCAGGAAAAAGGAAUAGUAAAUGCAAUGAAAGCUACUGGCGAGAAUGUAGACCCUUCAGCACUUUUGGCUGAAUUGGAGGCACAACAUGCAGCUAAGAGAAAGACCAUGCAAGACCAGUUGCAGCGGCAGCGACGUUUGAUGAGGAGUAGGUUGGCUGAGAGAAGACAGAAGCAAGAGGACAAGGAGUAUGAAGAAGAUGCAGCGAUGGCAUUAAUUCAGAAUGCAGAACAUAUCCAGAAUAAGCGAGACCAGGAUGCCCAGAUGAUGAAAGAGAAGCAGACUAGCCUGAUGAAGGACCGCUUGGCCCAACGUCGUGAGAAACGUCAUCAGGCAGAAAUGGCUAAGGAAGAGGAAGAAAGAAAGAAAAAGGAGGCAGAAGAAGCCAAGAAAACCAAAGAUGCUGCAGCUGAACGUUUGCCUCCUGGUCUAGGGAUGCAGCGAGAGAAGACUGUGAUUGAUGUAUCAGUAUCUGAGGAGAAGAAGAAAGCAUUGUUUGAUACACUGGUACGGGAACACACAAAGGCACAGUUGAAGAUUGAGAUGGAACAAGAGAAACAGACUCAACAGUUAAAGGAGCGUAUCCAGCAGCGUAAGAAUCGUUACCAGGAUGCUGCCACCAUGCUGUUAGGCUUAGGUGAACGUCAGAAGACAAUGGUGGCCAAAUCACAGAAGGAGGAGCGAGACCGGCAGCUGACCAUGGUUAAGGAGCGCAUAGAGAAAGUGCGCUAUGAGCGAACUCAGACCAUGAAGCUGAAGAAAGACCUCAAUGCCAAGACCUUCAAGGACAUGAUGGAACCAGACAGGGACAGUGGCCUGUCUAAGGAUGAGAAAAUGGCCCAGGUUGCUGCUAACAUGCAGAGGAAAUUCAUGGAAGAUGAACAGGAGAUAAAGAAGGGUACCAAAAGGAAAAGGAAGGACUAAAAGCAAAUCUGAUUCCUGGGCCUCGUUCUUCCAACCCUUGAAAACUGACCUGACUGUCGCUCCAGAUGAUGACAAUGACCACCCUGAUGGAACCAUUGCAGCUCCUUCUCUUCCUGGACAGUCUCAAAUAGACCAACCC